Ictalurus punctatus (channel catfish) is the source of this 1231-nucleotide long non-coding RNA. NCBI's taxonomy places the organism in Eukaryota, Metazoa, Chordata, Actinopteri, Siluriformes, Ictaluridae. The record is from Ensembl.
CUAUUCUUCUCUAUUCCUCUCCUACUUCUCUCCUACUUCUCUCUAUUCUCCUACUUCUCUCCUAUUUCUCUCCUACUUCUCUCCCAUUUCUCUCCCAUUUCUCUCCUAUUUCUCUCCAACUUCUCUCCUAUUUCUCUCCUACUUCUCUUCUACUUCCUAUUUGCUCUGAACAAACGCCAGUUCUCUAGAUGUGUAUCUUAUCGAUUUACCGCUGUUCUUCCACAUGCUUACUUUGCUUAUCUAUCUGCUGCGACGUAAAGUUUACAAUCAGUGUGCGGCCAGUCCGAGAGCAGUCCAUAUACACCGUCCACGAGGAGAACCGCCGGCCCGAUUCCAGGCGGAGAACCCGAGAUAAAAUCCAUACUAUCCACAAGUGCUUAAGCGUCGGCCAUAUUGGAUAGCGGCUGAUGAAGUAAAGCGCCGAUGUAGAGAGAGAGAAGAGGAAGAGGAGCCCGAGGAAGGAUCUUCUCCUGAACCUCAUCUGCGGAGGCAUCAUACCGGAAUAAACAAUUUAUAUAAAUAAAUAAAUAAAAAAGAAAAAAAAAAAGAAGAAAAAAAAGAAAGGAAGUAAAAAUUGCGCGGCGGAAAUCUCCUCCACAGCCCAGUCUCGCGCGGAGAUCACAAGCUCCUCUUCCUGCCGCGUUUCUCGGUCAGCCAGAGACAGACAGCUUCUUCAGAAGAGCAAGAAGAAGAACAAGAAGAGCAAGAAGAAGAGGAAGAAGAAGAAGGAGAAGAAGGAGAAGAAGGGGAAGAGGAAGAAGGAGAAGCUCCUACAGCUCGGGUGGAUCCAGCAGAAAGGGAAGGAGAAGCCCCGAGGAGAGUCAGCAGAUCUCCGAGAUCCACAACAUCCUGCUCUCUGGCACGAGCGCAACCAGAUGAAUGGAAGCGCAACUACGCACGUCAAAGCGGGGGCAGCGCGCGCGAGCGACUCGAGUCUUUUUUUUUUUUUUUUCUUUCCGACCGAGUCUUCACAGAGCCGAGUCCAGCAAGUGAAUCGAAUCAGGAAGUGAAUCAAACGUUGCGGUUGAAUCGUUUAACUCUUUAUUACAUGAAUUAUUACACCAUUAUUUUUAAAAAUGGAUUUAUAUUACUAGAAUUAGUUCAUUGAUUAGAAAGUUAAUCGUUAAAAAUGUGCAAUGGUUGAAAGUAUUCACAUAGUCAAAAAUAACACAGAAUGUAUGAGAUUAUAUUCCAAUGACUGCUUUUUCCAGACUAUAAAUUGCUAUAAGAG